Molecule: ribosomal RNA, 169 nt
Filed under: uncultured Sphingomonas sp.
Lineage: Bacteria; Pseudomonadati; Pseudomonadota; Alphaproteobacteria; Sphingomonadales; Sphingomonadaceae
Description: partial 16S ribosomal RNA
Rfam family: Bacterial small subunit ribosomal RNA
Source: RNAcentral
CCUACGGGAGGCAGCAGUGGGGAAUAUUGGACAAUGGGCGAAAGUCUGAUCCAGCAAUGCCGCGUGAGUGAUGAAGGCCUUAGGGUUGUAAAGCUCUUUUACCCGGGAUGAUAAUGACAGUACCGGGAGAAUAAGCUCCGGCUAACUCCGUGCCAGCAGCCGCGGUAAU